UACGUUCCCGGGCCUUGUACACACGCCCGUCACGUCACGAAAGUCGGCAACACCCGAAGCCGGUGGCCUAACCUUGGAGGGAGCCGUCGAAGGUGGGGCUGGCGAUUGGGACG
RNAcentral lists this ribosomal RNA (113 nucleotides) under uncultured bacterium. RNAcentral describes it as "partial 16S ribosomal RNA". It matches the Rfam family "Bacterial small subunit ribosomal RNA", at positions 1367 to 1482 of the family's 1533-position model. The record is from RNAcentral.